Molecule: ribosomal RNA, 510 nt
Filed under: uncultured bacterium
Lineage: Bacteria
Description: bacterial SSU rRNA
Rfam family: Bacterial small subunit ribosomal RNA
Source: RNAcentral
GACGAACGCUGGCGGCGUGCCUAAUACAUGCAAGUCGAGCGGACCAAAGGGAGCUUGCUCCUGGAGGUCAGCGGCGAACGGGUGAGUAACACGUGGGCAACCUGCCUGUAAGACUGGGAUAACAUCGAGAAAUCGGUGCUAAUACCGGAUAAUAAAAAGAACUGCAUGGUUCUUUUUUGUAAAGAUGGUUUCGGCUAUCACUUACAGAUGGGCCGCGGCGCAUUAGCUAGUUGGUGAGGUAACGGCUCACCAAGGCAACGAUGCGUAGCCGACCUGAGAGGGUGAUCGGCCACACUGGGACUGAGACACGGCCCAGACUCCUACGGGAGGCAGCAGUAGGGAAUCUUCCGCAAUGGACGAAAGUCUGACGGAGCAACGCCGCGUGAGUGAUGAAGGUUUUCGGAUCGUAAAACUCUGUUGUUAGGGAAGAACAAGUGCCGUUCGAAAGGGCGGCACCUUGACGGUACCUAACGAGAAAGCCACGGCUAACUACGUGCCAGCAGCCGACGG